This 511-nucleotide ribosomal RNA is filed under the name uncultured bacterium. RNAcentral's name for it is "bacterial SSU rRNA". It matches the Rfam family "Bacterial small subunit ribosomal RNA", at positions 772 to 1281 of the family's 1533-position model. The record is from RNAcentral.
ACUCAAUAGAUACCCGGGUAGUCCACGCCGUAAACGAUGAGUGCUAAGUGUUAGAGGGUUUCCGCCCUUUAGUGCUGCAGCUAAACGCAUUAAGCACUCCGCCUGGGGAGUACGGUCGCAAGACUGAAACUCAAAGGAAUUGACGGGGGCCCGCACAAGCGGUGGAGCAUGUGGUUUAAUUCGAAGCAACGCGAAGAACCUUACCAGGUCUUGACAUCCUCUGACAACUCUAGAGAUAGAGCGUUCCCCUUCGGGGGACAGAGUGACAGGUGGUGCAUGGUUGUCGUCAGCUCGUGUCGUGAGAUGUUGGGUUAAGUCCCGCAACGAGCGCAACCCUUGAUCUUAGUUGCCAGCAUUUAGUUGGGCACUCUAAGGUGACUGCCGGUGACAAACCGGAGGAAGGUGGGGAUGACGUCAAAUCAUCAUGCCCCUUAUGACCUGGGCUACACACGUGCUACAAUGGAUGGUACAAAGGGCUGCAAGACCGCGAGGUCAAGCCAAUCCCAUAAAA